UCCGUAGGUGGCAAUCGUUGUCCGGAUUUAUUGGGUUUAAAGGGUGCGUAGGUGGUUCCAUAAGUCAGUGGUGAAAUACGGCAGCUUAACUGUCGAGGUGCCAUUGAUACUGCGGAACUUGAGUACAGACGAGGUAGGCGGAAUUGACGGUGUAGCGGUGAAAUGCUUAGAUAUCGUCAAGAACACCGAUAGCGAAGGCAGCUUACUAGACUGUAACUGACACUGAGGCACGAAAGUGUGGGGAUAAAACAGG
This 253-nucleotide ribosomal RNA is filed under the name uncultured bacterium. Its description in RNAcentral is "partial 16S ribosomal RNA". It matches the Rfam family "Bacterial small subunit ribosomal RNA", at positions 524 to 776 of the family's 1533-position model. The record is from RNAcentral.